CAGUUAGUUGCUGCUUCAUGAGUGUGGGAGGGUGGGGGAGGUGCCUAGGAAUGCGUGACCUUGUGGACAGUGGGCUAUGGUAGGGCUGUCUUGGGGGUCUGAGCUGACUAGGAUUCCCCGUUUACCCACUUCUGGCCCCAGGAUGGGGAUGAGGCCACCGGCUGUCGGACACUUUGGGAGACUCACCCAUUUCCUGGACUCGAUCCUCCAGUGCUCCGGAAAGCUCGGCGAGGCUCAGAGCCUGCAGGGAAGCCUGCCAGCCUUUGGAAUCUGUGGGGCAGAGAGCCAGGUGGGCCUAGGGCUUGUGUGGUCACCACAGGCCCCGCCGCUUUGUCCUGGGCUGCUGACACCAGGGGACCCACCCACUGUCAGUACCUGCUUGACACUGUUCUAUCACAAUGUGUUCGCCUGCUUAUUUUUCCAAAGCACUGACUGGAGGGUGAAUCAGGGUUGCAGCCCCAGGAAUGAAAGUGUGAGGGUCCCUGGCUGACAGUCAGGCUUGACCCUGGGUAGCUCCGACUGCAGGCUGAAGAAGUCACAACAUUGUGGAGAACGUUAAGUCCCACCCCAGGGAGGCACGGUA
RNAcentral lists this long non-coding RNA (583 nucleotides) under Lynx pardinus (Iberian lynx). Lineage: Eukaryota; Metazoa; Chordata; Mammalia; Carnivora; Felidae. The record is from RNAcentral.